AGAGUUUGAUCAUGGCUCAGAUUGAACGCUGGCGGCAUGCCUUACACAUGCAAGUCGAACGGUAACGCGGGGCAACCUGGCGACGAGUGGCGAACGGGUGAGUAAUGCAUCGGAACGUGCCCAGUAGUGGGGGAUAGCCCGGCGAAAGCCGGAUUAAUACCGCAUACGACCUACGGGUGAAAGCGGGGGACCGCAAGGCCUCGCGCUAUUGGAGCGGCCGAUGUCAGAUUAGCUUGUUGGUGGGGUAAAAGCCCACCAAGGCGACGAUCUGUAGCUGGUCUGAGAGGACGACCAGCCACACUGGGACUGAGACACGGCCCAGACUCCUACGGGAGGCAGCAGUGGGGAAUUUUGGACAAUGGGCGCAAGCCUGAUCCAGCCAUGCCGCGUGCGGGAAGAAGGCCUUCGGGUUGUAAACCGCUUUUGUCAGGGAAGAAACGCUUUGGGCUAAUACCCCGAGGUAAUGACGGUACCUGAAGAAUAAGCACCGGCUAACUACGUGCCAGCAGCCGCGGUAAUACGUAGGGUGCAAGCGUUAAUCGGAAUUACUGGGCGUAAAGCGUGCGCAGGCGGUUAUGCAAGACAGAUGUGAAAUCCCCGGGCUCAACCUGGGAACUGCAUUUGUGACUGUAUAGCUAGAGUGCGGUAGAGGGGGAUGGAAUUCCGCGUGUAGCAGUGAAAUGCGUAGAUAUGCGGAGGAACACCGAUGGCGAAGGC
This 717-nucleotide ribosomal RNA is filed under the name uncultured bacterium. RNAcentral's name for it is "bacterial SSU rRNA". It matches the Rfam family "Bacterial small subunit ribosomal RNA", at positions 8 to 722 of the family's 1533-position model. The record is from RNAcentral.